GACGAACGCUGGCGGCGUGCUUAACACAUGCAAGUCGAACGAAGAGCGACGGAAGCUUGCUUCUAUCAAUCUUAGUGGCGAACGGGUGAGUAACGCGUAAUCAACCUGCCCUUCAGAGGGGGACAACAGUUGGAAACGACUGCUAAUACCGCAUACGAUCUAACCUCGGCAUCGAGGAUAGAUGAAAGGUGGCCUCUACAUGUAAGCUAUCACUGAAGGAGGGGAUUGCGUCUGAUUAGCUAGUUGGAGGGGUAACGGCCCACCAAGGCGAUGAUCAGUAGCCGGUCUGAGAGGAUGAACGGCCACAUUGGGACUGAGACACGGCCCAGACUCCUACGGGAGGCAGCAGUGGGGAAUCUUCCGAAAUGGACGAAAGUCUGACGGAGCAACGCCGCGGGAGGGAUGACGGCCUUCGGGUUGUAAAGCUCUGUUAAUCGGGACGAAAGGCCUUCUUGCGAAUAGUGAGAAGGAUUGACGGUACCGGAAUAGAAAGCCACGGCUAACUACGUG
This 510-nucleotide ribosomal RNA is filed under the name uncultured bacterium. RNAcentral's name for it is "partial 16S ribosomal RNA". It matches the Rfam family "Bacterial small subunit ribosomal RNA", at positions 28 to 507 of the family's 1533-position model. The record is from RNAcentral.